CCUACGGGAGGCAGCAGUGGGGAAUCUUGCGCAAUGGGCGAAAGCCUGACGCAGCAACGCCGCGUGAGCGAAGAAGGCCUUCGGGUUGUAAAGCUCUGUCAGGGGGAAAGAAGGCACCUGGGUUAAUAGCCCAAGGGUUGACGGUACCCCCAAAGGAAGCCCCGGCUAACUACGUGCCAGCAGCCGCGGUAAUACGUAGGGGGCGAGCGUUGUCCGGAAUUACUGGGCGUAAAGAGCGCGUAGGCGGUGCCUUAAGUCGGCUGUGAAAUCUCCCGGCUCAACUGGGAGGGGUCAUCCGAAACUGGUAGGCUUGAGGACAGCAGAGGGAGAUGGAAUUCCCGGUGUAGUGGUGAAAUGCGUAGAUAUCGGGAGGAACACCAGUGGCGAAGGCGAUCUCCUGGGCUGUUCCUGACGCUGAGGCGCGAAAGCGUGGGGAGCAAACAGGAUUAGAUACCCUGGUAGUCCACGCUGUAAACUAUGGACACUAGGUAUGGGGGGUAUCGACCCCCUCCGUGCCGGAGUUAACGCUAUAAGUGUCCCGCCUGGGGAGUACGGUCGCAAGACUAAAACUCAAAGGAAUUGACGG
RNAcentral lists this ribosomal RNA (586 nucleotides) under uncultured bacterium. RNAcentral describes it as "bacterial SSU rRNA". It matches the Rfam family "Bacterial small subunit ribosomal RNA", at positions 338 to 916 of the family's 1533-position model. The record is from RNAcentral.